Molecule: transfer RNA, 77 nt
Filed under: Bryobacterales bacterium
Lineage: Bacteria; Pseudomonadati; Acidobacteriota; Terriglobia; Bryobacterales
Description: tRNA-Met
Rfam family: tRNA
About the family: Transfer RNA (tRNA) molecules are approximately 80 nucleotides in length.
Source: RNAcentral
GCCGGGGUAGCUCAGUCGGUCAGAGCGACGGACUCAUAACCCGUAGGUCGGCGGUUCAAGUCCGCCCCCCGGCACCA